GUCCGGGAGAGCGGGAGGAUUACGACGACCUCAUAUUACGGGUGGGAGUGGAAGUGGGAGUGGGUGGACCUCCGUGGGGAGCCAGCGUGGAUAGAGUGCUGGGGUCAUCUCCCCGCCCCCUCCGCACGGCCAACACCGAGGUGACUUAAGGUGCCUAGUGUCGGUGUGAGGUCCAGGUUUAAAAUGUCAUCCCCGCCAGUGUGACAUCACCACCGCCUAGUGUGACACGUCCAGAGACUGAGCAGCGCGCGGGGAGGCAGCUGUUCUGGAGGCAGCAAGGAUCUGAGCCCUGGAAAGUGACUGUACAGAAUUAUGAUUCUACAUAUAAUGAUAGAGGCUGAAACUCCAAUACUUUGGCCACCUCAUGCGAAGAGCUGACUCAUUGGAAAAGACCCUGAUGCUGGGAGGGAUUGGGGGCAGGAGGAGAAGGGGACGACAGAGGAUGAGAUGGCUGGAUGGCAUCACCGACUCAAUGGACGUGAGUCUGAGUGAACUCCGGGAGUUGGUGAGGGACAGGGAGGCCUGGCGUGCUGCGAUUCAUGGGGUCGCAAAGAGUUGGACACGACUGAGCGACUGAACUGAACUGAACUGACUGAAGGGCGUAGUUAUGGACUCCAGUAUUUUUGCCUGGAGAAUUCCAUGGACAGAGGAGACUGGUGGGCUACAGUCCAUAGGGUCACACAGAGUUGGACACAACUAAGAGACUAACACUGUCACACUUAUCUAAACUCCAUCCCCUAGAUUCGUUCUUCCCUAUUAAUAGAAUCCCAGUUUCAUUCAGGUAGAAGGAAGAUCCUUUGAUUUCAAGGAAGCUAAGUUCCUCUCCGUUAAGUGAAAAAAUGAAAGUGUUAGCCACUCAGUCAUGUCCGACUGUUUGCGACCCCGUAGACUGUAGCCUGCCAGGCUCCUCUGUUCUUGGAAUUCUCCAGGCAAGAAUACUGGGGUAGGCAGCCAUUCCUUUCCCCAGGGGAUCUUCCCGACUGAGGGAUUGAACUUGGGUCUCCUGCAUUUCAGGCAGAUUCUUUAUCAUCUGAGCCACCAAGAAGCCCUUUCCCACCCCCAAAUCAGGGGCUAAAUCACAAUACGUCUAAAUCAAUCUGGUGAUACCAUUUCUCCUUGCCAAUGAUUGGUCUAGGAGUGGGUACAAGACACAGUUCUGGUUAAUGAAACAUGAAAGGAAGUCUUCUGGGAGGCUCUUAGGAAAUUGUUUAUUUUUGCAUAAAGAGAAAAUUUUCUUUUGCUCCUUUCUCUGUCUUUUGGCUAAGACAAAAGGAUGAAUACCCAAGGUCUGGAGCUACCAUGGCUGUCUUGUGCUCAAAUGGGGCAUCAGUCUUUGUUUUUAGUAACUAUCUUAAGUACAUUUUUCAUGUAAAAUGUGAACAGAGGAAUAAAUAUGCCAUUAUGUUAUCAUAUAUAAGGGAUAUUAGCUCAAGUAUGACAGGUACACUCUUGGGAAGAAGUGGUUAUCAUCCGUACAAGGCCGCAGAGAAGAGCAUGAUAUACAAAAUUGAAAAUGGAAUCACCCAUGCACAUUUGGAAGCUGCCCAGGAUAAUCAGGUCAUUUUGAGGAUUGGGUUCCAGCAGAAGUGAUGGCUUUGGCCGAACAUGAGCUUGGGUGAAGACUAUGCCUGUGGGGUUAAAGAGAAAGAGUCAAGGACUUCCCUGGUGGCACAGCAGAUAGGAAUUCACCUGCCGAUGCAGGGGAAAUUGGUUCGAUCCCUGGUUCGGAAAAAUCCUGUAGGCAACUAAAGCCUGUGCACCACAACUGCUGAAGCCUGUGUGCCUAGAGCCUGUGCUCUCCAACAAGAGAAGCCACCACAGUGAGAAGCCUGUGUACUGCAGCCAAGAACGGGAAAGUGACUCCAGAGCGAGGUGGCGGUGCACAACACUGUGAAUGCAUUAAAUGCCACUGAAUUGUACACUUAAAAAUAGUUGUUUGUUAUGCGAAUUUCACCUCAGUUUUUUUUUUUAAAAGGAGGAUGAAAGUUUGCAGGAUUUAGAAAUAAUGGGUAAAAGACUUCACCCCUAAUUUUUCUGAUUUUCAAGAGUCAACCCAGAGACUCUUCUGGGAGAAGAGCAAAUGCCUUAACCACUUACACAACAAUUAUGAGGGAAGGAGGGUUUGAGGUUUCAUUUCUGUUUCCUCCCUUAUCCACACAUAACCAUCGUCCUGUCUCUCAUUUUCUUCAUAUACUAGAUCUUUAUUCAGCAAAACCAAGGGAUAGUGCUUUUCUCUCCUUUUACCUGGAUCAGCAUCAUUCCUCAUUAUCAUGCCUCCAUCAUUUCCUAGCUUUUCACCUUUUCUUUGACCAACUGUUACAUGCAUGAGCUUUUAUCACUUUCAUUCCAUAUGUCAUUCCCUAUCAUCAGUUCUAAGCAAAAGCCAAAACAAAUGCUGGAAGAAUGCACACAAAGACCCACAAGGGAGAGGGCAAUAAAUCAGGACAGGACCUCAAAUUUUAAUAACUGAUUAUUACUUAUGCUGUGUCAUUUUGCAGUUCCUACAAACUCUGAAAUCAAAAAGACCUUAAUGAAAUAUCCCUUGCCUAACACAAUUCCUGAUAUGUGGUCGGUAAUAAUAGCUAUUUUGCUGAGUAAAUUACUGAGUGUUUAUUCAUAGUACUCAAAGCAUCAGAAUUCAGUAAACUAUAGAAUAGAGUUUA
This is a long non-coding RNA of Bos taurus (domestic cattle), 2663 nucleotides long. NCBI's taxonomy places the organism in Eukaryota, Metazoa, Chordata, Mammalia, Artiodactyla, Bovidae. The record is from Ensembl.